UGAUGCACUGCCCACAGAAGGCUAUGUGGGGUCUACAGAAUAGAUUGGUCUGGGGCAGGCAGACUGUAAGGAAGAGGAGGAAGCUGUAGAGGGUGCAGAGUUCGUGGCCACCAGCAUGAACAGUGUGAGCGAGGCUGUCCAAGUUCCCUGGGGCAGGUGAGACCAGCAUGACAAAGGCGGGAGCCUCUCUGCUCUUCUUCCCGUGCUAGACGCACCAUGGCAGGCUUUGCCCACGCAGAGGGACAUAGGACCAAGUCGUACAGAAAAACUUACAGCUUCCAUGUUUCUUCAAACUGCAAGAAUGGAGAAGGGAAUCUGUCUUCAGCUCCAGUUUCAAUCAGAAAUUCUACUUCUCUGAGAUUACCAAAAACCUUCAGUGUCUCCCUUAGGUGGGUCACUUCACCCUUGAAAAGCCCUGUUCAUGCCCUUCCCAUUCUUCAGUAAUGUGAAAGGGUCGCUGAAAUCCAGGGCACCGACAACACCAGUGCCCGUGAGAACGUGGAACGCAGGACCACUCACGCUUCCGUGGGAGGGACUGCAAAAUGCUGCGGCCAUGGUGGAAGACCAAGCUGUGUUUUGUGCUUUAUAAAAUUAAACACACUCAGCAUAUGA
Molecule: long non-coding RNA, 612 nt
Organism: Chinchilla lanigera (long-tailed chinchilla)
Lineage: Eukaryota; Metazoa; Chordata; Mammalia; Rodentia; Chinchillidae
Exons: 2
Source: RefSeq, a predicted model, not a curated record